Molecule: small nuclear RNA, 99 nt
Filed under: Solanum tuberosum (potato)
Lineage: Eukaryota; Viridiplantae; Streptophyta; Magnoliopsida; Solanales; Solanaceae
Source: RNAcentral
AACCCCAUUCGGGUUUAAAUUGGAACGAUACAGAGAAAAUUAGCAUGACCCCUUUGUGCAAGGAUAACAUGCAUAAAUUGAGAAAAUAACACAUCCCAA